RNAcentral lists this long non-coding RNA (26348 nucleotides) under Selaginella moellendorffii. Its description in RNAcentral is "long non-coding RNA (SMOE_LNC001847)". The record is from RNAcentral. Lineage: Eukaryota; Viridiplantae; Streptophyta; Lycopodiopsida; Selaginellales; Selaginellaceae.
UUCUUUCAGGUGAUACAUUCGUGAGCAUCUUGCUUGCUAAUCAAUGAUAUUUUGUGUUCUUUGAGUUAUCUUAUAUAAGUUGUUUAGCAUGCUAUCUACAAUCUUUAAUAAUUAAGUUUUUAUCAUUGCAUAUUCUUAAUGAUGCAUUUACUAUUGAAUUUUGUUGGAUAGUGAAUCCUAUAUUUUCUAAUCUUGAUGGUUCCUAUACUAUCAUAUUGGUUUAUCGGAUGAUAACUUACUUGGAAUACUUUUGUGUUCUAAUCUAAGAUUUCUUCACAGAUAAUUCAAUCUCUUAGAUUAUAACUUUGAUAUUGUCCAUAUAUUAAUCUUUGAGUUUGGGCUUGUAUAGGUAAACUAGCUUCAACAUUUCGUGUGCAUGGUGAAAUCUCUAGAUAUGGGGUAACUACUAUAAACUGGUCACAUCACCCACCUCUCUAUUGAUAUUCCUUAUUCCGUUAAAAGGCCUUAACUGUGUAAACAACUCUAACUACCUAUUUAUAGUAGUCUAUUUAAACCUUACUGACGUGUUUAGUUUCUUUGCUCAAGACAAUUAGGGCUUUUGGCUUCUCUCUCUAUGCCACCUAUGGGUAGGGGCAUAUCACACUUUUAUAAGCUAGGUGACACUCAGAGUAGCAAGGGUGGUUAACUUCGUUAGUCAUUUCUUUGUCGGCAACAGCUGGAAGGUGUCUGAGUUGGUAAUGCAUCCACGUUAGACAAAGAGGUUAAACUCAUUUAAGUUGGUGCAUUUCUCAUAUAGUGUGAUCAUUGUGAACUUUUUCUAGAGUUGUUUCUUUGGCGGUGGUCUAGACUCGAGUAUGCAUCAAUGAGGAUAUCAAUCUUCCCUACAGGGGGAGAGUGUCGUAAAUGUGACCUUGGAUAUCAAAAAUUAUCUGUCAGCUAGUAAUUAUGGACACUCUUUCUUUACUGCCACAAUGGCAAGAGGUCGGUAUUGCUGGACCUUUUAUCAAUCCCUCUUGUUCAAGUGUUAGUAAACUAGACUUUGCAUCUGUACUUGGCCAAAUGAGCAUAAAGACAGAAUUCCUAAGUAUCUAUUUAGCCAAGUAUACUUAGCUCGGCUUUUUAGUUCUCUUUUACUCUAUCUUGCACUUGCUUGACAAGAACCCUCGCAUAUUGAGAUUAGUCCCUCAAUAACACUAGAUGAUAGCUUAUCGUGUCUGCUAAACACCCUCAUUAUCAUGCCCUUUGUGUUAGUCUCAUUCCAAUCCCAAAUGCUAUUUAUGGAAAGUGUUUAGAUUUGCUCAUUUGGCAUAUCUAUGGAAUGUAGAGAUUGUCUUGAACACAAUGGUGUUCGUCCUAUGUCCAAAUUCAUAAUUUAGAGAUAUUCUAUAUUUAAUAAGUUUUGAGCUUGUCCUAGAGACUAACUUCUAGUACUAAGGGAGGAUUGGGGUGAAAGCCCAAAGCGUGUGUUCUUUGAAAGGGGGGGGGGGGGGGGGGGUAGGGAUAGUGGGUAGGUCAGGCAUAGUUUAGCUCUCGCUUGCGUGCCUGUCUUUGUUUUGCAUCCAGCUUGGGUCUAAGCCCAAGUUCCACACUAUGCUAGCUGGUGAAGUACCCAUACCCUUGUGUUAGGCCGUCGGUAUACUGAAAUAGCGCUAAACACCAUUUGGCUUCAUUUUGCACGUUAGUUCUAGCAUUGGGAUGUUAGUUGCUCUAGGACUAAUCCAAGUUGCUCUGUGCUCCUGUCCCUUCACUCCUUGGGCUAUAUGCUUAGGAAUCAUUCCGUCAUCCGGUUCCAUCACUAUGUUUGGGAGUUUGGCACCGUACCUUCAUUCAGUAGCCCAAGGCUCUGAAACUUGGGUUCCACUCCGCUGUCCUUUAGACAUGUGGCAUAUGACACGUGGCAUAUGGAGGGUUUAAGUUCCACUUUGUGAUUAUCCUAUGGUAAAUUACCAUAGGAUAAUUGGUAAAAAUCACAUGCACUACAUCAACUAACAAUCACUCUUUAACUUGCCUUCACAAAACCCAAACACUAAACUCACAUUAUUAAGUCAUAUAUUUGUCCAAUAUGAAUGUAAUACCCCAAAUAUGAGAUAUUGGCUCAUGGACAAGCACGAACUAAAUGUCUACUUGAAUUCAACUCAACCAUAAUAAACUCACUAAUGCAUUUAGCCAAUAGCUCUAAGCAUGCUUUGAAAAGGCUAGCUAUGCAUAAUUAACACUUAGUCAAAACUAAAGUGAAGACUAUGAGAUGGACUCAUAUUGGUAAACAACCUCUUCAUAAACAAAGUUAUAGUAUGGGCACCAACAUCUCAACCUGAAACAACUAAAUUGGACAUCACUAUCCUUAUCCAAGAUGCAGGGCCAUGAAGACCAAGUCAAGAUCAACAAAGACUCACUACUCUUAUAGAGUCUUAAUGAGUGUAAAGUGCAACUUACCACCAAGCAUAACUCUAUAAAAGAAAGGCAUAAAUAUUACCUUUCUAAAAAAGUGCAAUGGCCACUUUUCUACACCAACUCUAGACUUUAUCCAACUCAAUUGCUUUAGUCCCAAAAGUCAGCAUCCCUUUCGGGUUGCAUCAUACAAACUACCUACUAAGGUCUAAGCUAACCGAAAUCAAUUCCAAUCCCUUCACUAGUUUAUACUGGCUUACAAAAAUAGAAUGGUUUUCGAGCAAAAAUGAUUAACAAAUCAGCCAUUGGAAAAGCCUAAGAAAAUUUGUGGAAAGAAUUUUAGAGAAAAAAUGACUCUUAGUUUAGGAAUGUAAAUUUUCAAGACUCAGCCAACUUCCUCCUAUUUACAACUUCAUGUAAGUUCACCCCAACACCAAUUCUUAUGACCCAUAGUAUGCUUAAGCCUCGAACAUCAUACCCAUAUUUUUUAUAUCCAACAUUGACAUUCGUAAAAUGCAAAAUGAACAUUUAAGGCUUGAUCACGAAAACCAUAUCUUCAGACAUCCACAUUGCACUAACACUCUUCUUUAAUCAUCUUUAAGAUUUAAUGUGAAUCCAAAACAUUAAUAAGAAAAAUGACAUAGGAAAUCAAGGUCUAGGGAAAAUUCCUCAUCAUUCGAAAUAACAAUGCCACUUCCACUAACACAAGUGUUAGUAAUGUUAAUGCCUUAAUUUUACACCUUCUUUAUCCAACAAUCUACUCCAAGUGCUAAUAGAUCAACCAACAAACAAUAGCAAGUGAAUGCCAUAACCUUAAUAAACAAACUCCUCAGGAAACAAGAUACCAACUUAAGUUUAACACAUCAUAGAUCACUAUUGAGAAUCCAGUCAAGGCUACUUCAAUGUUACUAUUUGCAACUAGAUUAGCUUCACUAUCAACCACUUUGGGGUUAAUCAUUGUAUAACCAAGUAACUUUGUAAAUAUAUUACUUAUUAUCACAUGGAUAUAAUAUAAAAUCACAAUGACUUAAUCAUCAAUUGAGCAACACCAUGAGUAAUGCAUAUAUUACUACUACAAAGGUUAUAUAAAUAUGAAGUGCCAACUCAAUUCGACAAAAUGCAACAUAAAUGCCACACUCCACUGAUAGAGAUUUACGAUACCCAACACCACUAACAUUUGUUCACAACAUGGACAAGCUCAUGCCAUUAGUAGAUCCUUCUUAGGCAUGAUUAUAAGUGGAUCAAUCAUGACUAUAAGAAUUAGUCUAUUGGUUCAAAGUAGUCAUUGCCGUGUUCUCUCAUAAACUUUUCUUAGAUUAGACUGAAGGCAAUGCAAAAGUAAGCUUGAGGUUUGGUCAAAGAUGAGACCGAAAAGAGAGUUACUAGAGUUGAAGGAUCAAACACAUAAAUCAUUUUCUUUUCUUGGAGAGAUGAUUUGCAACGAGGUGUGACUCAUUGCUCAUGUUCACGAUAUGCAAUCAAAAGUCCCUAUUCUGAUGCAUGUUGGAAAUGAUAGUCUUACAAGUGGUGAGUCAUGGGAUGGAUAGUAGUGAAGCGCUAUAUCAUUUUAUCUAGACUUACUAUUGAAGACUUAGAUUACAAUGCUCAAUUCUUUUUUCAGGAACCUUGCUAUUGCUCCUUGAGUAACAUAGUGUUGGAUUAAUUUUGAGUUUAGUUUGAAAAGAGAGUGACAUAAGCUUGUCUGUGUUGUGAACAAAAGUUAGUGGUAUUAGGUGUUGUAAAUCUUUAUCAGUGGGGUGUAGCAUUUAUGUUAUAUUUUAUCAAAUUAAGUUGGCACUUGAUAUUCAUAUAAACCUUUGAAGUAAUGACAUGAACAUUACUUAUAGUGUUGCUCAAUUAAUGAUCAAGUUAUUGUGACUUCCAUAUUAUAUCUAUAUGAUAAUGAGUAAUGUGUUUAUAAAGUUGUUUGGUUAGACGAUAAUCAAUGCCAAAGUGGUUGAUGGUGAAGUUAAUCUACUUAUAAGUAGUAGCAUUGUAAUAGCUUUAACUGGAUUCUCAAUGGUGAACCAUUAUGCUAAGCUUAAGUUAGUUCCUUGAGUUUGCCUAUUGAGGUGAUGGAAAAGGGUUAUAACAUUCAAUUAUUAUAGCUCGUUAGUUGAUCCAUUGGCACUUGGAGUAGAUUGUUGAAUCGAAGAGGUAUGUAGUUGAGGCAUUGACAUUAUUAGCAUUUGUGUUAAUGGAAGUGGCAUUAUUAUUNNNNNNNNNNNNNNNNNNNNNNNNNNNNNNNNNNNNNNNNNNNNNNNNNNNNNNNNNNNNNNNNNNNNNNNNNNNNNNNNNNNNNNNNNNNNNNNNNNNNNNNNNNNNNNNNNNNNNNNNNNNNNNNNNNNNNNNNNNNNNNNNNNNAUAAGGCAACCUGAAAAGGAUGCUAACCUUUAGGGCUAAGGCAAUUGAGUUGGAUAAAGUCUAGAGUUGGUGUGAAAAAAUGGCCAUUGUACUGUUCUAGAAAGGUGACCUUUAGGCCUUUCUUUUAUAGUGUUAUGCUUGGUGGUAGGUUGCACCUUACAUUUCAUUAGAUUCUAUGAGAGUAGUGAGCUCUCAUUGAUCUUGACUUGGUCUUGGUAGCUUUGUGCCUUGGUUGAAGAUAAUAAUGUCCAACUUAAUUAUUCAAAGUUGAAAUGUUAGUACUCGUACUAUAACUGUCUAUGAAGAGGUUGUGUACCGAUAUAAGUCUAUCUCAUGGUCUUCACUUUAGUUUCGGUUGAGUGUUGAUCAUGCAUAGCUAGCCUCUUCAAGGCAUGCUUAGAGCUAUUGGCUAAACGUAUUAGUGAGCUUAGUGCAGUUGAGUUGGAUUGAAGUGGUCAUUUAGUUCAUGCUUGUUCAUGAGCUAAUAUCUCAUAUAUGGGGUAUUGCAUUCACACUGGACAAAUAUAUGAUUUAAUAACGUGAGUUUAAUGUUUGGGUUUUAUGAAGGCAAUUUGAAGAGUGAUUGUUGGUUGUUUUAUUACUAGUGAUUGUUCAUAAACUUGGUCAAAGACUAUUUGACACUUUCUUCGUUCAAUGAUGAUUUAAUAAUGAUGGGCUUGCUUUAUCGGAUAGUGUUGCAAAGGAUCGUGUCAUUAAACUUACAUGGUUCUUUCAUGUUGGCAUAUCAAUUCUACCUUUGUCAAUGUCAUUUGGUUGCAUUUAAUCUGUAAAGUUGGAUUUCAUGAAGUCUUGGAUGUGGUGAAUCACUCCUCGAUGAUAUGUUAUUUGAAACUAAGUAGUGUUGGAGGAUUAAUUUUAAAUACUAAUUAAAGUAUCUUUGACUUUGGUUAGCUUGGUUGCUGGAGAGCUUUGAGUGGUAAUUCACUCUUGCUUUCUAUUAGCUUUGUUAUAGUGUUGAUGACAUAGAAGUGAUGCCUUGUCAUUGACAUUAUUAUUGUUGAAAUUCAAGUGGGAUGAAAUAUCUCUCCGUGGGAUUGAUAUUGAGUUUCAUUAGUCUUGAUGUAAAUAAUGUUGAUGCUUGGGCUGUAGCUUUAUAUUAUUGGCAGCUACAUAAUUGUUAAUUAACAACUGUGUUGACGUUCAAACGAGUUGAGUGGCAAGUUUGAGUUAAUUAUGUUUUAGACAAAAUUAUUUAGUAGGGGUUGAGCUUUGGCUUUUCUUUGAAAAGUGAUUUAGUCAUGGACUAUAUUAGCCUUACAAGAGAAAGAGUUAGUGAUCGAUAUUGAAGUGAUUGAAUCUUUGUUAGAUUUAAUUUGGGAUAUAUUAAUUAUUAAUGAUUCUUCUUGUGCUUGUUCUAAAGUGAGUUACGUUUUGCUAUAGAUGAAUUCAUGAAGGAUCAUUUGAUGAUCACUUAUUGAGCAUAGCUUCAUUAUGUUUAGCUUUUGAGUUAAUGCAAAUAUACUCUUCAUUAGCUUUGGCAUUAUGAAGUUUGGCUUAUGGAUGUAUUAAGGAGGAUAUUGUGAGUUGUACCUGAUUUCUUCUUUAACAUUAAAAUUAAUUCAUGUGAGACUCGUGAUCAUUGUUAGGCAAGACUUAGCUAUAAAAUUCUUCAAGCUUUUGGUUCUUUGAGUUUUAUGCUCAUUGUCCUAUUUGUUAGAAGUUGUUGGGGAAGGCAUUUGGUUUAUUAACUUUGAUGUUGAAGUUAGUUUUUGCAUCUAGCAAUCAUUGGUGAUAAUUGAUUAUCAUCUUGGGAUAGUUGAUUGUUCUCAUUAAAAGUUUUGUUUGAUUAUUGUUGAUUUAGAAUGACUUGCCAUUCUUCGGGAUGGUGAAUUCUUUCUUCGACGAUGAUUAUGCAUCUUUUCAUUGAUGGGAUGAUUGAUGAUCUUUUAUGAUAGUUAGUUAUUCUCUUUGAUGGCUUAUGGUUUUCGCAUUACCACAUGUUCUUUGUGGUUUGCUCUAGAUUGGUCUCAGACAUCAGUAAUAUGUUGCUGACACUCGCUUGAGCAACUCUAGUUCCUUGGUAUUAUUAACCGGAAUUUAUACAGAUUUGCUAGUGCAAUAAUUGGCAUGAAUGAGUAUUUAUUGGUCAUGCAACAUUCAUUCUGUUUUGUUAAUUGUUGCUUGAGUUAGUUUUUAUAGAUUAGAAUGUUAGUUCCUUCACAUGAUACAUUCGCGAGUAUCUUACUUGCCAGUCAAUGAUACUUUGUGUUCUUUGAGUUAUCUUAUAUAAGUUGUUUAGCAUGCUGUCUACAAUCUUUGAUAGUUAAGUUUUUAUCAUUACGUAUUCUUAAUGAUGCAUUUACUAUUGAAUUUUGUUGGAUAGUGAAUCGUAUGUUUUUUGAUCUUGAUAGUUCCUAUACUAUCAUAUUGGUUUAUCGGAUGAUAACUUACUUGGAAUACUUUUGUGUUCUAAUCUAAGAUUUCUUCACAGAUAAUUCAAUCUCUUAGAUAUCAUUGUUUAUAACUUUGAUAUUGUCCAUAUAUUAAUCUUUGAGUUUGGGCUAGUAUAGGUAACUAGCUUCAGCNNNNNNNNNNNNNNNNNNNNNNNNNNNNNNNNNNNNNNNNNNNNNNNNNNNNNNNNNNNNNNNNNNNNNNNNNNNNNNNNNNNNNNNNNNNNNNNNNNNNUAUCAUGCCCUUUGUGUCAUCUCAUUCCGGUCCUAAAUGCUAUUUAUGGAAAGUGUUCAGAUUUGCUCAUUUGGCAUAUCUAUGGAAUGUAGAGAUUAUCUUGAACACAAUGGUGUUUGUCCUAUGUCCAAAUUCAUAAUUUAGAGAUAUUCUAUAUUUAGUAAGUUUUGAGCUUGUCUUAGAGAAUAACUUCUAGUACUAAGGGAGGAUUGGGGCGAAAGCCCAAAGCAUGUGUUCCUUCGGGGGGGGGCGGGAGGGGGGGUUAUGGGGGGUUUUAAAUGUAUAGUAGGGAUAGUGGGUAGGUUGGGCAUGGCCAACUAACCUGAGGCAUAGUUUAGCUCCCGCUUGCGUGCCUAUCAUUGUUUUGCGUCUAACUUGGGUCUAAGCCUAAGUUCCACACUAUGCUAGUUGGUGGAGUACCCAUAUCCUUGUGUUAGGCCACUAGUAUGUUGAAAUAGCGCCAGACACCAUUUGGCUCUGUUUUGCGUGUUGGUUCUGUCAUUAGGAUGUUGGUUAUUCUAGGACUGAUCUAAGUUGCUCCGUGCUCUUGUCUCUUCACUCCUUAUGCUAUAUGCUCGGGAGUAAUUCUAUGGUUUAGUUCCAUCACUCCUUGGCUCUAUGCUUAGGAGUUUGGCACCGUACCUUCGUUCAGUGGCCCAAGUCUCUAAAACUCGGGUUGCACUCCACUGUCCUUUGGACAUGUGGCAUAUAGAGGGUUUAGGUUCCACUUCGUGGUUAUCCUAUAGUAAAUCACCAUAGGAUAAAUGGUAAAAACCACAUUCGCUAUAGCAACCAACAAUCACUUUUUAACUUGCCUUCACAAGACCCAAACACUAAACUCACGUCGUUAAGUUAUAUAUUUGUUCAAUAUGAAUGUAAUACCCUAGAUAUGAGAUAUUGGCUCAUGGACAAGCACAAACUAAAAUGACCACUUGAAUCCAACUCAACCACAAUAAGCUCACUCAUGCAUUUAACUAAUAGCUCUGAGCAUGCUUUGAAAAUGCUAGUUAUGCAUGAUCAACACUUAGUCAAAACUAAAGUGAAGACCGUGAGAUGGACUCAUAUUGGUACACAACCUCCUCAUAGAUAAAGCUAUAGUAUGGGUACUAACAUCUCAACCUGAAACAAUUAAGUUGGACAUCACUAUCCUCAGCCAAGGUGCAAGGCCACGAAGACCAAGUCAAGAUUAACAAAAGCUCACUACUCUCAAAGUCUUAAUGAAAUGCAAGGUGUAACUUGCCACCAAGCAUAACUCUAUAAAAGAAAGGCAUAAAUAUCACCUUUCUAGAAAAGCGUAAUGGCCACUUUUCUACACCAACUCCAGACUCUAUUUAACUCAAUUGUCUUACCCCCAAAAGUCAGCAUCCCUUUCGGGUUGCAUCAUACAAAUUACCUACUAAGGUUUAAGCUAACCGAAAUUAAUUCCAACCCCUUCACUAGUUCGUAUUGGCUUACAAAAAUAGAAUGGUUUUCGAGCAAAAAUGAUUAACAAAUCAGCCAUUGAAAAAGCCUAAGAAAAUUUGUGGAAAUUUUCCAUCUUUCCAUAGAGGGUCCUAUGAUCAAGUCUUGUGGUACUAAGGGUUGUUAAAAAUCUGAUGGCUUGGUGUGCUUGGCUGUUUAUGCCUGCAAGGAGUGUAGCCGAACCUUAAGUCUAAUCUAACCUAGAGAGGGGGAUUGGGAGAGAUUUGGGAAUCCGUUGAGGGAUUGUUAGCACUCUGUUGCUCGUGUAGUGAGUAGCUGAAACCAAGUAGGAGCUAGUACCAUAGGCGGGAACCUUGGCGAGGGAACUUAGCUAAGUUUAAGGAAGUGUCGGUCAAAUAGAUAAGGUAAGUUGGCAAAUUGAAAAGGAAAAAUUUGUGGCUUACACCAAGCCAAACGUAGAACAAGGACAGGCAUGCAAGCGGGAGCUAGACUAUGCCUUAAGUUUGUCGGCCAUGCCCGACCUACCCACUAUCCCUAUUAUACAUUUAGAACCCCCCAUAACACUCCACUUUUGAGGAACACAUGCUUUUGGCUUUCACCCCAAGCCUCUUUUAGUAUCAGAAGUUAAUUUCUAAGACAAGCUCGAAACUUAUUAAAUAUGAAAUGUCCUUAAAUUGUGAAUUUGGACAUAGGAUGAACACCAUUGUGUUCAAAACAAUCUCUACAUUCUGUAGAUAUGCCAAAUAAGCAAAUUGUAAGCAACCAAAGAGAACAAUUCGAGAGACAAUCCAUGGGGUUCAAAUAUAAAGGGAAAGGGCCCAUGAAUAAGAGUGCACCCUCUUUUCCAAUCGGUUAAGGGUUUUGGGAUACUUAAGGUUAAGCGUCCUUGGGUUUGAAUAGUACUGAGCUGGGUGACCUCCCGGGAAGACUUUCCAUAAAUAACAAUUAAAUGAGACGAACACAAAAGGCAUGAUAAUGAGGGUGUUUGGCAGACAUGGUAAACUAUCAUUCAGUGAUAUUGAGGGAUUAAUGUCAAUCUUGUCAAGCCAAUGCAAGACAAAACAAAAGAGAACUAAAAGCCAAGCCAAGUAUGCUUAGCUAGAAACAUAUAGGAGUUCCUACUUUAUGUCCAUCUAGCUAAGUACAGAUGCUAAGCCUAGUAAACUAACACUUGAACAAGAGAGGCUGAUAAAAGGAACUAGCAAUAUCGACCUCCUGCCGUUAUGGUAAUAAGGAAAAAAUAUCCGAAAGGACUAACUGACAUAUAACUUUCAAUACCCGAAGUCACAUUUGCGACAAUAAACCACUCUUGAGCUCAUGGGUUGAAGAGUUUAGCUGUGAGUUGAGGUCAAUUUUUAAUUGUAGUAUAAUACAAAUAUUAUAAAUUUAAAAGAACUUAAGGUUCAUGGUGAAUUUAAUAUUUUUGAAACUAAUUACAUUAUAAAAAUGACAUUUCUUAUUUUAACAUUUUAAAUAUUUAUUAUAUACUAUAAUAGAGAUGUUCUUUAGAAUAUAAAAUAAGAAAAGAUUUAUUUUUAGAAGAAGUGAUUUUGUUACUUCCUUAAAUCUAUACUAUGUGCUUUUUAUUUAGUAAAUAUCAGGUUUAUUAGAAUUUUAAAAUUAUUAAAUUUGAAAUAAGAUUAUAUACAAGGUCAUGUAACUAUUUGAAAGGAAGAAAAUAGCCAUUAAUAUAAGUUAAAAGAGAGAUUUGGUUUUUCUUUAGAAUACAUUCUUGAGGGGUUUAUCAUAUCAUAGUGUUUAGAAUUUAUAAAUUUUCACUUGUACUCUUAUUCAAAAAAAGGGAAAUACAUAUAAAUGUCUAUGGGCUCUAGUAUUAGUACUUUUCACUCUUGCAAUCUUUCUUCCUAGGGUAGUAAUUCAAGGGUUAGAAGUUGCAAUAGUUGUGUUAUUGCACAAUAUAACUAAAUGAUAUAAAAAAUAAAAAGAAAAUUGUGAAAAUAGUGAUUACAAAUUGAAGAUAAACAUAAUGACAAAGGGUGCAAUAAAUUAACUGUAGAGAAAUGCCCUUCUAUUUUUUUAAAAAAACUAUAAUUUUAUGACUUUCAAGAAAUACUCUUGUUAUUUUUUGGUUUCUAAUAGAAAGAAUGGCGAUGAUUAGUAUGAUGGUAUAUAUGCUCUUGCAACACAUUGCAACAUUAUACCUAUAAAAGACUACUAAAGAUAAAAAUGGAGACAUAUUGGUAUUAUAGACAAUAUUGCAAAAGGAACACUUCUAAGUGUAUAAAUUAAAAAAUAUACUUUUUAAUUAAUUAUAUAAAGUAUAAUAAGCUUAUGUUAUUGAUAGAAAAUAAAUAUCAAUAGUCUUAUAGUUUUGGUAAAUCUAGUUAGCUCCAAGACUUGUCUAGUGUACAUCUAAAAUUCUAUCCCAAACAAUAUAAUGUAAGAAAAAGAUAUUAUAAUGUAUAAAAUAUAACAUAUAUACCUCCCAAGGCUAAUAGCAAGUUUUAUGCCUUCUAGUAAAUUCCACAAGCUAGCCUCUUCUAGUUGAGUCUUUUGCCAGCCUAGAUUAAGCAGGGAACUUGUGAUAAAAUCCUUAAGGAUAGUUUUUUGAAUAUGCUUUGAAAUUGUAGAUGAGUUUCUCAAAGUCUUCUUACAUAACAUUUUUGAAACAAUAAAGAAAACUCUUUUAUAUCCCUUCUUAUAUUGAAUGCAUGUAUGUCCUAAUAUGCAUACCCACUCCAUCCCAAAGAAGAAAGUAGUACAUCUUGACCUCAUAGAUAGUAUGAUAUAGAGGAGCAUUUUUUCAGAACUGGCACUUUAAUCCAAUAGUAAUGUGUCAUAAGCAAAAGGAUUGAUUACUGACCUUUCAUAAAUAUGGAAUUUCUAUAACAAUCUCAAUUGUAUAUUUCAUUCAUGCAAUCCAAAUGCUAACCACACUGAACCAUAAACCCUAUACCUUUAAAAUAUUGAAAGUGUGGUUUUGAUCUUGCACAUAUUAUGAACAUCUUACUUGAUCUCCAUCCCCUUCUGUCUGGAACUAGUGUUGGUAAUAAGAAGUGGUAGCUAGAAGAAGAUGUUGGUGUUGUAUUAGGAUGGAAGCUCACUCAUGGGCCUAUACAAAAAUAAGCAUAUAUAAACUAAAAGGUGGGAAAAUUAGAAAGUAUUGCUAAUAACUUUAAAUAUUGUUAAAGAUAGAGUUGGUGAAUUUGAGGCCAACACUAGUAUAACUUCUCCACUUGAAAUGGAAGCAAAGAGGAUAAUGAUUGAUUUUUGCUUCACAUUCACUUGGCUGGAGUAUAUUUUAGAACUUUGACUAAAGAUCCAAAAACUUAAAUCUACUUGAACUUGGAAUUUUAUAAAUCCCAUUACUGUCCACCCUCACCCACACUAGAAAGAAGAAACUUUAAACAUGCAACCAUAUCAGUGUUGUUACAAAUCACAACCUUUAAUAGAAUAAAGCAUUAUAUCACAAAUGUGGCUACAGGUAUUGAAAAUUAUAUGUCAGCAAAUCCUUUCAGAUAUUUUUUCCUUACUAUCACAACAAUAAGAGGUUAGUAUUACUAAUUCCCUUUCAACCCCAUUAGUAAACUUGACUUAAUAUAUAUAUUUGGCUAGAUAAGCAUAAAAGAGGAAUUCCUAAGUGUCUAUUUAGCCAAGUAUACUUAUAACAGUAAUAGUAUGUAGCCUAAUUUAUUAAUUCUCUUUCACUUUGUUAUGCACUAACAUGAUGAAAACCCCUGUAAUAUUGAGAUUGGUCCCUCAAUAUUCAUUAGGUGAUAGCUUACUAUAUCUACUAAGUCACUCUCGCUAUCAUGCCCUACAUGUUGGUUUCGUUUGAUCCUAUUGGUUAUUUAUGGAAAUGGUGGUGUUCCUAUGUUCAAAUUUGCAAUUUAACACCAUUUUAAAUUUAGUAAGUUUUUGUCACUGUUCUAGAGACUAACUCUUGGGACUAAAAUGAAAGCCCAAAGCAUGCAUUCUUUAGUGGGGGGCGGGGGGGGGGGGGCACUAGAGGGGGUUCCAAAUGUAUAGUAGGGAUAGUGGGUAAGUUGGGCAUGAUUAAUUAACUUAAGGUAUGGUUCAGCUUUUGCUUGUGUGUUUGUCUUUGUUUUAUGUCUGACUUGGAUCUAAGCCCAAAUUCUAUACUAUGUUAGUUGGUGGAAUAUCUAUAUCCUUGCAUUAGGCCACCGAUAUACUAAAAUUAUGUUAAACUCCAUUUGGCUCCAUUUUGUAUGUUGGUCUUGACAUUAGGAUGUUAAAUAUUCUAGAACUAUUCCAAGUCUUGUCUAUUCACUCCUUGGGCUAUAUGCUUAGGAGUCAUUCUAUGCUCCUCCAAGCCUUGGGCUACUAAAUAAAGGGACAAAGCCAAAUUCUUAAGUAUGGAGCCAAAGAGUGAAGAAGUUUUGCUCUACUGCUCUUGGACAUGUGGUAUAUGGAGGGUUUAGGUUCUGCUUUAUGGUUAUCUUAUGGUAAAUCACCAUAGAAUAAAAAUUGAAAACCAUAUGCACUACAUUUGAUAUCAAAGGAUCAAAAUAUUGAUAAAAGAACUUUAAAAAACAAGGCUUUGAGAGAAUGAAAGCUGUAGAAGAAACCUUUCCAUCCUUCUAUAUAGGUUUUGGAGUUCUUUAUCUCUCUUUAUGCUACUUAUAAAAAUCCACAGUGAAACAUAAAUUAAAAUUUAAGGAGAGCAAAAUAUCAAUAAUGUAUAAAAUGAAAAUAAAUACUACAACAUAUCUAACAUGCGUAAGUGUGACAAUUGUAAUAUUACUAUCAUUUGUUAUGAUGUUUAAUGCAUACAUGUAUAUAGAUCUAAGGAAGAGUUUUCAACAUAUAGUGAUGAUGUCAAUAAUAACAUUUUGCUAUGGCAUGUAGAUCCAAGAUAUCUGAUCCAAUUAUCAACAUAUAUGAAGUGUCAUUAGUUUAUCAAAUCUUACAUGCUAGGUGAUGUCAGUAAUGAUAAUUCUUAAAUAACAUAUAUUCAAUUCUUAGUAUGAGUCAAGUUUUAUCCAUAAGUGCGAACACUAAUUAAUGACAUUUAGAAAACAUACCUAUAGUUUAGGUUCUUACACAAGACAAAAUAAAUUUAUGAAUAAGGAUUCAUCCAUUCAUAAAUUAAUAUAGUACAACAUAAUGUGCCUUAUUUAUACUCUUUAAAUUUCCUAUAAAAAAUCCAAAAUAUAUACAAAAUAUUGAUGAGAAGGCACCUUUUCUAUAAAAUUAGUUUAAUGAAUAAACUAAGAUCUAUGAUAUAGUGAUGUGGUGAUAAUGAAACAAACAGCAAAGAUUUAAAUUAUUGGAAUGAGUGGCCAAGAUGAGAGAUUGGUUAGGGUUAGGGUAGCUACCAAGAUUAGUUUUAGGGUAUUGUUGGUGCCAUGAGUUGAGCACAAGUUAAGUGCACGAGUGAUUGAAUGAGUGAGAGAUUGAGAGCAUGAGUGAUUAAACAUACAAGAGAUUGAGAGACUGAGACAAGAGGGGAUGGUCCAAAGUUGAGUUGAGCUCAAUUUAACACAAGUCAACUCAAGUCAACACAGUCAACUAGAAGUAUUACAAAGGAAAUCUAAAUUGAACAAAUGAAGGUUCUAGCAAACUUUAAAAUAUUUAAAUAUGUAAAUAUUUGAGUUAAAAGUUUCUAUAAGAUUGAAUUGUUUAAAGAAGACAAAGUUCAUGAGAACCUAUCUUUUAUAAAGCUAUAUUAUUUUAUUAUGACUAUUGUUACAGCUGUCAUAUUUUGAUUUGACUACUUAAUAUUUUGAAUAUUUUUACAGCUGUAUAUUUCUUCAUUCAAAAGAUUUUUUAGGGUUCGUAAGAAGAUGGGAAGCAAGGAAAAUACAAGAUCUGUGAGUAAAAGUUGUAAUGCAAAAAAAUGUGAGAAUGCUAAUUUUAUUUCACUACCAUAAUUUCCAUAUUACACUUCUAAUCCUUAUUACCCAUCUAGGAAUGUGGAGAUCACUAUCACGAUUGAUAAAAAUGCUCAUGUUACUUCUGAAACAACAGUCCAAAACAAGAAAAAUAAAGAAAUGAACAGUACAGUAGAAAACACCAAGAAAUCUACUCCAUAAAACUUUCUAUGAUAUUUGUAAUUAAAGUGCACACCUUAAACGAGGAUAAUACUGUAAUAGUAAAUUUAAACCAUUUAAGAAAGUACUAUAAAGAUAUAAACAUAAAUAUUAUCUAUAUUUUAGAGUAUAAAACUAUGGAUAAGCAUGUGGAUGAAGCCCUUCCAAGGAUUCAUUAUGAUAAACUACCUAAGUGCAUAGAUAACAUGGCCAAUUGAAUGAAGGAUAAAGGUCUAAAAAAAUUCUACAAAACUACAUCAAACUUUGUAAGACCAUAGGAAGGUAAAUUAAUUUUUCAAUUAUGGGAUCUUGUAAAAUUAACUUUCAAAAUGGAUGGAAGGGAUAUUAAAAUCACUUAGGAUCUUAUUUCCAAACUUUUCUAUCUCUCUAUAGAGCUAAAUCAGUGGAAUUGGAUAGAAGAAGUAGUCUUUUCUGAUAAGCUUAAACAAGGAUCUACUUAUCUAGAAUAAAGGGAAAAUACAUAUCCCUUAGGAAAGAUUUAUCUUUAUGUUAUCUAAGUGUUUUCUUUGAUGGGGAAGUUCCAAGAAAAGAAAUCAAGGGAUAUAUUAGAUAAAUAUUUCUUUUUUUGGAGCAAGCUUUCUCUCAAAAUCUUGUUGGUAUGGUCUAUAGAAAUUUUCUCCAGGCAAUGUAAAACUUAGAAGAAAAGAAAAGAAAGAGUAAAUACUUUAAGAGUAAUGUCUAUAUUUUAAUUUCCCCAUUCUAUAAACUUUAUCAGCAAACCACAAGGAUUAAUGAGUAGAGAUUACUAGGCUAAUAAGGAAAAAAAAAUUCCACAAUACAUUUGCAUACAAAAGCAAACUAGAUGUAAGCUCCUGAAUUUGGACUUCCCAGGAAGUCACCCAGCCCAGUAUUAUUCAAACCCAAAGACACUUAACCUCAAAUAUCCCAAGACCCUUAACCAAUUGGAGGAGCAGGUGCACUUUUGUUUAUGGGCCCUUUCCCUUUAUAUUUGAACCCCAUGGAUCGUUUCUUGAAUUGGUCCCUUUGGUUGCUUACACUAGAGCAGGAUUUGGAGAAUCCGACUACCUAAGGAUAGAUAGCAUAGGUAGAAAAAGCAUUACUUACAUGUACUUACAUAUUUAAUAUUUUAAGUUCAUUAGAACCUUCAUUUGUUCAAUUUAAAUUUCCUUUAUAAAACUUUUGAUUAACCGUAUUGACUUGUAUUGACUUUUGUUAAGUUGAGCUCAACUCAACUUUGGACCACCCUCAAGAAGACUAGACAAAACAUGUAAAAGCAUUUUGAUCUACUAACAUAUAUAGAUGGUAAGGAUAAAGUUUUUAAAUAUCAAGCCACCAAAAUUGUUAUUAAACAAAUUCCAAUAUCUUACAAGAUGUUAUGAUAUGCUUGGACAAUAUGCAAUUACAUUUUGCCAUCAAAUAUAUACAGCUGAGCAUAAAUUUGUCCCAAAAUUAAAGAAAUUAAUAAUCACUAUGUUGGGUUGGAGAAACACAACAAAAAAAAAUUAAUUGUCAAGUUUUCUAAAAAAAUGGAUUAGUGGCCUAAACUGCUUCAAUCUAUGACUUAAGGGAGUGAUCAAGUUUAUAUUAGCUCUACUCUUGCCUAAAACUUGAAAAGAGCAAUUGGUCUUAAUGAAUAAUAAUAUAGAAAGUCAUGGAGAAGAAAUGGAGCUAAGAUGAAAAAAGUAGAUGACUCAUUUAGUUUAAUUAAACUAAAUAUUCUUGUUUUCCAAAACCACAAAUGUUGUAUCCAUUGUACAAGUUUGAGGAUGAGCAUGGAGACAAAAAUGAAAUGGUCUACAUCUCCAUAAUACAUAUAAAGGUGGUUUUUGAUUCAACAUUAUCAUUUAACAUUGAUAAAAUGCCAUUGACAUAUAGCUCUAUUCUCCAUUAGAAUUGUGUUUUGCUUAUGUGUUAGUUACUCCAAGACUGGGAUUGUUAGACAAGGAACAAAAGUUUAAUGAUGACGCUCCAAUUGUUAUUCUUGCAAUGCUAAGGAGAAAAUAUUCUUUAAGGGUUGUAUUGUCCUAUAAAAUAUCAGUGGUAACCAUUAAAACUUUGAUGCAAAGGCAAAUAUAGAUUUUGGAGCCUUGGCACAAUUGCUAGAAUUUAUUAAUGGUGGUGCACUCUUGAUUAAUAUUGUUAAAUAUGUUGGUGAUGUAUUGAAUAAAGAGAUUGAAAUCCUAAAGAACAAAAUCACUUUUUUCAAAAAAGGUGAAAAACCAAGAAAUAGUAAAAAAAGAUUUGAUUAAGACUAUAUAAUAAGUCAAAGUAGAGUAGUGGCUAUACUAUAUAUUGAUUCAAAUAUUGAUUUAAUUUGGUUGAGGAAAAAUUUUGCUUACAUACAAAUUUUUAGCUUUGAAUCUUGAUACUCUACAAAAGUUAUAUCAAGCAUUGAAAUAAUUUAAUACAACACUUCACUUGCAGCUCUACCAAAUUAUUCAACACCAAUAAUGGCUUUCUAGUUUGACGAAAAGGAUAUGAAAAAACCAUUAAUAUCAAAGUGGUGGGAGACAAUGAAACUACUAAUAAACUAUUAAAAUAGAUAAAAAAUAAAUGAUAAAUUUUUGUUGAACACUAUUUCCAAAACUUUACUUUUAUAAAGGCUUUGGAAAUCACUAGUCCACCCAUCUAAUCCAAAAUUUUAAUUAAGUUAUGGCUUUAUGUUAAUCCUAAAUGCCUAUCCAAUGUGCAUUGAAUUUAAAUCCGAUGAGUGAAGGUUUGGGAUUUGAUUUUUGCUAUGGCUAAUAUAAUAAAUAUGCUCUUCAAUAAAUAUAGAGAGAUGGCAAAUAUAUAAUAUGUAAAAACAAAAUGUAUUGAAAAUAAUUAUAAGAUCUAGAAAAAAUAAAAAUACUAAUAAAAAAGAGUUAGCCACUGCAAGGAAACGCCUAACAAUGGAUAGGCCAAAUUCAAUAGAGUUGAACUAAGAUUAUACCAUUGGAAUUUAUUUUUUUCUAUUUACUUGAUGAUGUUGUAUCAUUAUCAAGUGUAAUUUUUAGUCAUGCUAUAAGGCAUAAUUUUAUUCGUGUUAUUUUGCUCUUACUUUUUUAGUAAUGAUGUAGUUAAUCUGUUUAUGAGCUCAGAUUGGGUAAUAAUUUUAAAUAAUGAACCUGCCCUUUAUUUUUAGAUAUUUUAAAUUACUGAAACAGCUGAAUUACACUUAAAAUACUGUGAAAACCAUUAGAAUUAAGGAGGAGAUUCCAUUUUCUGUACAAAAUGAAGUUACAACAAAAACUCUCUAAGAUAUUUAACUCGAGUUGGAUGCUUCAACUUCAUCAUUCCCCGAAUCUCAUACUUUCGAACCAUCUCCCUUGAAAGGUUGAGGUUACGUCCAAUCUCAGUGAACGAUCUCUCGCCCUUUCCAUCCAGUCCAUAGCGCUGGCGAAUUAUCAAGCUCUCCUUUGGUUUCAAAGAAUCUAGCUGCAAGAAAGAAUGUUAGAGAAGAACAGAGGUGUAAGAGAAACAUACUACAUCGUCCAUUCCAAGGCGAAGUUGAGCUCCCGCGUUAUAAUACUGUGCCUCGUUCUCGUCUGGAUCGCUGAUGCUGUGGAUCAGCUCCUCUCCUGUAACUUUGGAGCGCGCAUUUAGCGAUCUCCUGGGAGCACCCGUCCUCAGGACUUCAAAGUAUCUCCUCGAGUCCAUCUUAAGUUCCGUGAUCACCUCCUCGUGCGUUGGUUCCCUGUCGAGCUCGAGAGACAGCUGAGCUCGCUUUCUCUGGAUAGUCAUCUUUUGCUGCCGGACAAAACAACGAGUCCCUCGUCACCUCACGGAGCUCUAGAGAAAGAAGAAAGCUAAAAGGCUUACCGCAGCAACGUUGUAUGGUACUCUAACGAUGUGUCCCAGCCUUGUUUGUGCUCGGAGAAUGCUGUUUUUAACCCAGUAUACUGCGUAAGUCGAGAAGCGAUAGCCUUUCUUUGGAUCAAACUUAUCGACUGCGCUCAUGAGGCCCGGGACACCCUCUUGGCAUAAGUCGAGCAAAGAUAAGCUGAGCUCCUCUUUGAAGUACUUACGAGCCUGAUGAGCUACUAGCCGGAGGUUGUGCUGCAAAACAAGCAGUGCUGGCUGAGAUCAUGAUAUCCUGGCUUGGAAACUAGUAACAGGAUAUCGAGAUUAUGUGUGAACCUUGAUCAUCUUGUUCCUUGCGGCCUGACCCGACUGUAACAGCCGCCGAAGCGUCUGUACACUCAUCUCUGCCACCUUGGCCCAUUCUUCCUCGGAAGGCUCUCUCUUUAAAUGCUCGAAAAACUUUAGUCUUACUUGCUGGAGCCUCUGCAUAGAAAACAGGUUUUAGAAGAAAAACAUAGAGAAGUAGAGCAUAUGUACCUUUGCCGGGGCCAUGAACCACGCAAGACGAACUUCUUCCGGGCCUGUCAAGCGAAGCCGCGGAAGUUUGUCCCAGUUGAGCACUAGCAUGCUUCCACUGGCACCAUACUCCUUGAUAAGAACCUCGGCCUCCUGAGACCACGGAUCGAAUUCACAACCUGGCGGAGCUGAAACUUUCGCUGGAGUUUCAACCUCUUCACUGAUCAAAGGAGCGCGAUCCUUUGCCAGCUUCUCAACACGCUCCCUAUGCAAGGCCAUCCUGCUCUCCAGACCAAGCCGACGCUUCUUAUGGUGCUUGACGGUCAAAGGCUGGCUGACCAAAUCCAUAGACAAAGCUCGCUGUUCUUCUUCCACGCCGUGAAACCUCUCUAGUGACCGUAGUAGCACCGGCUUAAAAGCUGGUUGACGGUAGGCCGAUUCGAGCAGAGCCGAGAGACUGUUCCUAAGCGAGAGUUCAUCCAAAGUCAUGGAUGGCGACAAAGCCUCGAGCUCCUCAGUGGCCACUGCCGGUAUCUGUGUGUUCUUGCGACGUCCACCUUUCUUUGGAGAAGUUGACGCCUUUGCCUUUCGUUUAUCCUUCGCUGCUAACUGUUUGUCCGAAUCUACCAGUGCAUCCUCCACGUAUCUACACCUCCAGCAGUGCUGGAGAUCCACCCUGUGGCCAAAAAUCCCACUAGUUGCCGCUCUAAGUCCCUGGAGCUGCGAGCAAAAAAAUGAGCUCUCCAAGACCCCCGGAAUUGGUCCCCAGCAUUGAGAGAACGAUCCUCUGUGAAAGAUGUGUGUGGCAGCCGCUGCGUAAGCAUAAGCUACCAGGACCAUUUUUUAGUCUCACCACAUCUGGAAGGAAAAAAGAAAGAAAGAAAGAAAUCCGGUGAGUCAAUCGCUCUACAAUCCAUUCCAAGCACACACAGAUCGAUCUUAUCGAUCGCUCUAUCCGCUCUAUCCGCAAAAUCGCGAGCUCGCGAUGAGCGACUCGCGACCUAGCCAUGCUCAAGCGCUGCGAUUGGAAUUCCAUACUCCAAUCCUGCCUAGAUCUACCUGAGAGAGGAUUGGCUGUCGAGAUUGCGUACCUGAGCGGCGCCCGGAUUCCGUCGCUGCGCCAAGAAUUUGGCUCCACGCCGCGCCGCGCAUUCAAACCAGCGCCAUAGCCACGGGGCGGUGCGCUUAGCUUUGAGCAUAUUGGCGGCAUUCCAUGCGUUGGAUUUCCCAUCCAACGGCCCACAUUUCGGGGAAAAACCCGCGGAUUAGGGUUUAAACUCCAACCGAUAAACCGACGUGUCACUUUUUUAUCCAAGAACGCCCACGUGGCAAACUAUCUUGAUAUUUGAAUCGAGGAGCCCUAAAAAAAUGGGGGGCUUUUAGCGCAAGGCGGCGAUAUGGAUCGAGGUUUGUGAUUCUUUCUUAUAGAUCUCACGCUUGGAGGGAGCGCAUUGCUUGUAGCAUUCGAUUUGUGUUGGCUGGGGUGAGUUUAGAUGAUCGAGUGUUGUCUCUGUUCUUGGGGCGUCGAUUUGGUAUUUGAUCUUUGUAAACCCUGGUACGCUGCUACUUGUGUUUCUCCCCUUUUCCUUCCAUUGAUCAUUUCGCUUGUUACUUGUGGCAAUGGUUCUAAAUCUUCCUUGGGCGCAAGAAUUUCUCGUCCCAAGCAUUGCUCCUUUGCCUUGUUUAUUUUUCUUCCACUCUUUCCAUUGACAAUUUUUGCUUGUUAACUUUCUUCGCUGCUCACUGGCAUGUUUUACUUACUUGGUGCUCUCUCUUUUGCUUGGCCGUGUUUUUCUAAGAGUCGAGCUCAUCAGCAAACAACGCUGGUCUGUUACUUUCGGCCAUCGCUUUUUUCUUUUUCCCUUUUCUCACCCGUUUUUUCAACCCGGUGCCUCAAGCGUUACCUUGACCCGAUGCAUGCAUGCUUGCUGGUGAGGAGUCAGGAUUUCCUGGUAGAUCUUUUUAAGCUUGCGGUCUCUUCUUUCUCUUUUUUCUUCUUCUCCGUCUUUCGUUGGGUAGUUUGGUGGCUGGUUUCUUUGAAACUUUGCAAUAGAAAAGGUGUAAUAGAAUGGGAGAGGGAAUGAACUUUGCAUGAUUUAAGAGAGCUUAAGAUAUGCUGAGCUCUGCAUCUCCGCCAACCCCACCAGCUAGAUUCAAUUCGUAGUCUUGUUUGUUGAAGCUAGCUUCAAGCCUGUAGCGGAGUACGAUGCAAGCCGAUUCUUUGCAUUGAUCACGAAAGUGACCUGCUUAGUUUUUAUUUUCAGCGUGUUUGUCUCCUGACAGAAAAUACAAGCAGUGUCCAGGAUCAAAAACUAUUGUGCUCCGAUGGAUGAUUGCAUAGUUUUUUAUUUCCGUCUUCUGGAGUUUCUUGCUUGACAACACCCUUACGUGAUUUUCUUUUUUCGUCAGGUUCCGUAGGUUUGGAACUUGGAUGUUUUGGAAUCCGAGAGCUCGUACGCGAUCAAUCUAACGAGAGGUAUGGUUAACAAAAACCUGAGUGACUUCAACUUUAUUUCUUCCAGAGUUUUGAGCAGUUCCUCAUGCAGUAUCCACUUUCGUUUUAGAGUUUCAAGUAAUCAAAUCGUAACUCCAUUGUUCGCCCCGUCCAUAGUCGUCUGCACAGGCGUCCUGAGUCAGUGGUAGCAAUCUCGGCAUUGGAUCAAUAACCUCCUCCUGCUCACUCCAUGUCGGCGAGUGUCCUGUGUCCAAAACAUUGCCCAGUCGGGAAAAAUGCUUAUUUGAAAGAAAAAGAAAAAAUUUCAAAAGCGAAACUCUCUCAACUUUUGUUUUUUUUGGUGCAUUUCUCUUUCUCCUACCUAGAGCUAGAAAAAAAAUCUGUGUCAUGGUUGAUGAGAGGUUUGCUGGGAGUUUUGACAUGUACCUUUUGCAGUAAUAACGGGGUAAUAGUUUUGAUGCAUCAGGAUUGCGGGAGGAUCACUUUGUUGCGUGCUACUCGGUGUGGUCACGGGUUGUCCGAUCAUCAUGGGAAGCCGCCUCUCCCGUUGCUGCUGCUGCUCCGUCAACAUGGAGCUGCUGCUAUCGUCCUCGUCUCUGGAGCAACUCGCUGGUACAGCCGCAGCCGACUCGAGCAAGUCGAGGCAAAGCCUGAGCUUGUUAUGAUCGGCAGUCACUCCCGUGAGAGCUCCCACCGCCAGUGCCUCAGACGCCAGGUUCUGGAGUAUGUUGAGCGCCGUAGCACCGGUUGGAGUGGUGGAGUGUGGAUCGGCGUGGUGGUCGAGAAGGACCGCUAUCAUCUCGGGGUCGGCCAGCUCUCCAGCAAUGUGGAGCGGAGUUCUUCCGUCCGGACCUGGCAUAUUGACAUUGGCUGCCCCCAGCUCUAGCAAAUUCUUGACGACUUUGCGGCUGCAGUUUGCUACGGCAUAGUGGAUGGCCAGAGUUUUAUCCAAGUCGAGGCCUUCUCCCAUCACCAUCAGCCUCACGAGCUCUACAUCCGAUGAGUCGAGUGCCUUCUGCAUCCUCCUCGUCCGCUGGUCGUCCAAAGCAUCGCUAGAAUGCGCUUCGAAGCCGUAUCCACACUUUUGCCUGAUGGCUUCUACCUCGGCUACUACUUCUCCAGGCAAGUGCUUUCGUAAAACUUCCGAGGACAGACCUGACUUUGCUACUAGUUUGGAGCAGACUGACCAGAGAUGGAGCAAGUCCUGCUUCCUCGCCGCUGCAAGUAUCCGCAUUACGUCUUCAAUCGAUGCUUUCUCAGCAAUUCCGGCCAGCUCCCUCUACAGGUACACAGAAAAGUUCCUGUUAAGUUUCUCCUCUUUGGAGUAACUCUCUCUCUCUCUCUCUCUCUCUCUCUCUCUCUCUCUCUCGGUUUUUUUUCCUUUCCUUCUUCAGUGAUCGAGUGCAAACCUGGACUAAGAUGGAGAGCUGCUCGAUGCUGAAGACUUGAGCAGCAUGCAAUGCCUCGAGAGCAAAAUCCACCGCUGAUCUGCAGUAGACGUGCCAGCAAGCGCCUUCUUUGCAACCGGUUGGAUGCGGAGGGACCAGAGAUAAUUGGCCGCUGUAUAGAAACUGGAGCAUGAGCAUGAAGACGUCGUAUCCAACAAUUCCCACAGGGAUCGGUGGCCGUCCUGGUAUGUCUUGUGAAGCUUCACUGCUGCAAAAGAUCAUCCUAAAGAAUUGGCUUCUUGCUGCCAGGACGCACUUGUGAGCGUAGACGGGCCUGCCUUCGACUGUGAAAGUCACAUCGCUGAAUGCCUGCCCGUUGGCCAGAAGGUUGAGCAAAUCACUGGAGAGCUGCUUCAGAGGCUCCUCCAGAUUCAUCCCUCCGGCCAAGUGAAGUAAGGACUUCUUCUUUCCUUUUACACUUUCAAGCCGCGAUCAUGGAAAUGAUGCAGAUGGAGGAGCAUGGGAGAAAUAGGAGAAAUGGAAGAAGCGCGGAGAAUCUGGGAGCAAAGAUGAGCAGAAAAUCCUCCGGAGACUGCGAGGAGCCAGCUUCUCACCGUAACAGGAGAGGAGCUCUUGAAGAAGACGAGCAAGAGACCGGUAUCUCCAUGCCGACAACAUCCAAACCCAGGUAUUCUUCUCCUCGCUACUUCUCCAGCUUGGUGCGUGUUAGACGCUUCUGGUUCUCCCACAUAGAGAUCAGUGCAAUUUUUUCGAGCGCUCACCUCUCAGUGAACAGGGCCUGGAAGCCGAUACACAUUGUCUUUUUUCUUCUUCCUGUUGUGUUCUGCCGUUCUGCAAGCUAUAGAUGUAGUAUAUAUAUAUUCAUGGAUUUAUAUUUUUCUUCUUUCCUUUUUUCUUUUUUCUUUCCAUCAGAGUUGACCCGGAGGAGUUCCUGUGCUCUUCGAUGGCGCUUAGCUACUAAACGCGAUCCCUCGGGAGUUUUAAAGUGAGGUCGGGUCGCUUUGACUCUUUUACUUGUUCUUUCUUUUGUGGUAUUAACAUGGCUGGCAGGCUGUAGCUAGCAAGCUAGAGACAAGGGAACCUACAGCAGAGAGUUGAUGCAAGAUAAGUUUCACUUUAAACAAUUUUUGCUGUUUUUAUUUUGUUUAGUUUGUUUUUCCUUUCGUUUUCAACUGGUUUGUGUUGCACCAUGAUUGGCAGGGGAAAAAAGAGCGUGUAGAUCUGAGAUGAGUUUGGUGAGAACCAAACCAAAACGGAACGAGCGCUCCUCGUUCUCGCUAAUCUGCUCGGGUAAGUUGUAAGUGAUCUUAUGAGUGGUUACUCAGCAAGAUUUUGGCUUUGGUCGCUCGGUCCCCUCCACUUCUAGCCUGCUACCUUUCUUCCAGAGGAAAAGUUAGAGCUUUCUUGGUUUCUAUCCCUCCUAACUUUUCCUCUCUUUUGUUCUUUGCAACAGGAAGACAAUCAUAGGCUCGGCAUUUCUAAAUCCAUCGCAAGGCGAGGAACGCUACGCUCCUUCUUGGAUCCCUAGGAAAAAGCGCAUCAAAGGUACGACUCGAUCAAAACUCUCCUUUUCCGCGACAGACACUGUGAAGCAAAAAGAAGAACUUAGUAGUAGCAAGAACUAAGAGACGAAGAACAGGGUAGGUAGAUAGGAAUUGCCUCGUUGGUAUAUCUCUAGCUGUGGCUACAUAGCACCAUAGCGCUGGCAGCACUGGGACACAGGGAGAGGAUUUCUGGAGAGUGUGACAGACAGUACAGACAGUGUACACACACUACUCAAGUCUGCUGCCGAUAAGAAAGGAUCGAGAAGUGUUGUCACAGCACAGUGGUCGUGGUGGUGGUGGUGGUGAAAGAGCAAAAGGUGGACGAGUAGCGGCACUAGCAAUAGAAUGGGCUGCAAGUUUUGCAGAGGAGGAGAGCGACCGUGCGUGCUCGCUCUGUAGACACAAUAGAGACCGACAGCAGCAGGGACAUAUGGUGACACUUCCUCCUUUUUUUUUUACUGCAUUUUACUGCUGAGCAAACAAGUAAACGACAAGCAGGCAGGGCAGACAAGUAGAAUCCUCGGGGUUUAGUAAACUAAGAGUCUAUGGAUCGAGAAGGAAAGCCCGGGAAUCAAAGCAGGAAUCAAAGCAAGAAAAACGAGCCGAGUUUUCCAGAUCUUUCGCGAAGAAGCUCAAGUGAUCUUAAAGGAAAAGCUCGAGCUUGGAAAAACCAGGAAGAAAGAAGAAGAGAAAGGCAUGGGCUGGAAGAUCCUUCUUUGGGAGGCUAAAACUUCGUGGGAUAGGUGUAGCGGUUCCACGUGCGGCUUUCUGACCGCGCUAUUUUCUAAUUAAAUUCCACAGGUUGCUCACCUUCCAUUAUCAAAUCCUGUUCGAUCACAACAAAGAAAUGUUACUUACGUAGGGUCUUCGCACUUUGAUAGAAAUCUCCUAGAACGAGUGUGGUUUCAUUUGAUCAAUGUUACUUCGAAACUUAUAAAGAAAACUACAUUGGGUAAUCGCAGUUGGUAGAAAUCUCAGUGCUUUGAUUGAUCACACCCAAGAAAUGUUACAUAUGAAGAAAAUUACAUUGGGCCAUCCAUCACACUCGAUGGAAUCGAAACUUAUGAGGAAAACUACAUUGGGUCAUCAGACUUUUGACAGAAAUCUUCAGUAGUUUGAUCACAAAAAAGUGAAGUUACUUCUAAACUUAUGAAGAAAAUUAGAUUGGCUCUUCGCACUUGAUAGAAACCUCCUUGUGUCUCAGUGGUAGUGACAACAGAAACUCAAAAGCUCACCGGAAAUCUCACGCUCUUGCGAAAAGCAUCGUCAUCGACACAGAGGAAUAGAAACAAACCGGAUGCCUCAGGACUAGAGAGCCUGUUUUCUACACCAAAGCUUCAGGUAAUACGUGCAAAGCUAGUAAGCAUCACCGGCACCCGGCUAUGGUUUCCACUGCCUUUUGUUUGUCACUGAGAAAGCACAAAAUGCAAUGGAGGUAUGCAAAGUGCAAAGAAAUGACAGGCAUCAAUCUAGCACACAUUGGUUUCUUCCAGGACUUGACGCUAAGGACAGUGCCAAAGAGCCAAUUGCCCGAGUGUGCGCAUCAACAAACACAAGCAAAGAAAAACGCAAGAAAACGAGAGAAAGAAAAAACCAUACCCGAUACGGGUUAACAAAGUUUUGAUCUCGGGAAAAACAUCGACUCGAUCACAAACUCACAGGCCCAGCUUGGUCCUUCGCCAGUGCCUCCUCUUGGCAUUGUAGCUACAAGAAAGAUAAAACCAAAAGAAGAUCAGGAAAAUCCGAUGACAACGAAUACCGGAUGGUGUUGUCGGUCCGCAUCCUGAUCCAGUGAGGGAUUGGGCGAUUCUGGCGCAGCUUCUUGCCCAGUUUCUGCUUGAUCCGGAACGUCUUGUGCGACGGC